ACCCGCUGAACUUAAGCAUAUCAAUAAGCGGAGGAAAAGAAACCAACAGGGAUUACCUCAGUAACGGCGAGUGAAGCGGUAACAGCUCAAAUUUGAAAUCUGGCUCUUUUAGGGUCCGAGUUGUAAUUUGUAGAAGAUGCUUCGGGUGUGGCUCCGGUCUAAGUUCCUUGGAACAGGACGUCAUAGAGGGUGAGAAUCCCGUAUGUGACUGGUUGCUUUCGCUCAUGUGAAGCUCUUUCGACGAGUCGAGUUGUUUGGGAAUGCAGCUCAAAAUGGGUGGUAAAUUUCAUCUAAAGCUAAAUAUUGGCCAGAGACCGAUAGCGCACAAGUAGAGUGAUCGAAAGAUGAAAAGCACUUUGGAAAGAGAGUUAAACAGUACGUGAAAUUGUUGAAAGGGAAGCGCUUGCAAUUAGACUUGCACGCUGUCGAUCAUCCGAACUUCUGUCCGGUGCACUCGAUUGCGUUCAGGCCAGCAUCGGUUUCGGUGGUGGGAUAAAGGCCUUGGGAAUGUAGCUUCUUUCGGGGAGUGUUAUAGCCCUCGGUGCAAUGCCGCCUACCGGGACCGAGGACCGCGCUUCGGCUAGGAUGCUGGCGUAAUAAUUGUAAGCGACCCGUCUUGAAACACGGACCAAGGAGUCUAACAUCUAUGCGAGUGUUUGGGUGUCAAACCCAUACGCGUAAUGAAAGUGAACGGAGGUGAGAACCCUUAAGGGUGCAUCAUCGACCGAUCCUGAUGUCUUCGGAUGGAUUUGAGUAAGAGCAUAGCUGUUGGGACCCGAAAGAUGGUGAACUAUGCGUGAAUAGGGUGAAGCCAGAGGAAACUCUGGUGGAGGCUCGCAGCGGUUCUGACGUGCAAAUCGAUCGUCAAA
Molecule: ribosomal RNA, 869 nt
Filed under: fungal sp. mh2658.1
Lineage: Eukaryota; Fungi
Description: eukaryotic LSU rRNA
Rfam family: Eukaryotic large subunit ribosomal RNA
Source: RNAcentral